UGCAAUAGAGGCGGCGAGGAGACGCGUCGCACUGUGUUGUUAUGUGUGUUGUCAUAAUUAUUUCAUUGAAAAAUUAAUUUCGCCGUUUCCGAAACAAUACUCACCGAUUUCUGUCUGUGAAACAUAACGUCUGAACAACUCCUCUUAAGUUUUGCCGAAAGGACCUAAGUAAUUUAGAGAAGCUAAAAACACACACUUUCGAGCAAUCCUGAUUUCGAAAUUACGACGAUUACGAAGACGACGAUUAGAAGAAGAAGAAAAAGGAGAAAAUCAAGAAAAAUACGCGAAAAAAAGCACCAAAAAAAGAGAAGAAACAAAAUUGAAACAAAAGCAUUGCCUUAAAGAAGAAGAGUACACCUACACUGUCGAAGGAACAAACGAGAGACACAGGGGGGAAAGAAACAAACAGAAAAAGAUAACACUUUAGACGCCUACAAAGUAAAUUGUAAAGAUAUGACUAAAGUAUAUUUUUAACAAGUUUUGAGAAACUUUAGAUUUUAAACGUAAAUUUAAAAGCGAAAAAUGAAAAAAAACGAUAAAAUUCUUAAUAACUAAAAAUGUGAUCUAAAAGUCGUUGCUACCAAGAGAAGCCUUAUGUCCUUGUUUCAGUUAGUUCGGUUCCAAACCUUCGAGCGGGAGACGCGUUGCAGCGAGAGAUUCCCGCGCAGGAGAGGAAGACUGGACAAAGCGGAAGAAGCAGAAUAAGACGAGCAAAGCA
RNAcentral lists this unclassified non-coding RNA (718 nucleotides) under Monomorium pharaonis (pharaoh ant). RNAcentral's name for it is "uncharacterized LOC105837944, transcript variant X6". Lineage: Eukaryota; Metazoa; Arthropoda; Insecta; Hymenoptera; Formicidae. The record is from RNAcentral.